GUUAAGCGACUAAGCGUACACGGUGGAUGCCCUGGCAGUCAGAGGCGAUGAAGGACGUGCUAAUCUGCGAUAAGCGUCGGUAAGGUGAUAUGAACCGUUAUAACCGGCGAUUUCCGAAUGGGGAAACCCAGUGUGUUUCGACACACUAUCAUUAACUGAAUCCAUAGGUUAAUGAGGCGAACCGGGGGAACUGAAACAUCUAAGUACCCCGAGGAAAAGAAAUCAACCGAGAUUCCCCCAGUAGCGGCGAGCGAACGGGGAGGAGCCCAGAGCCUGAAUCAGUGUGUGUGUUAGUGGAAGCGUCUGGAAAGGCGCGCGAUACAGGGUGACAGCCCCGUACACAAAAAUGCACAUGCUGUGAGCUCGAUGAGUAGGGCGGGACACGUGGUAUCCUGUCUGAAUAUGGGGGGACCAUCCUCCAAGGCUAAAUACUCCUGACUGACCGAUAGUGAACCAGUACCGUGAGGGAAAGGCGAAAAGAACCCCGGCGAGGGGAGUGAAAAAGAACCUGA
This 512-nucleotide ribosomal RNA is filed under the name Escherichia coli. RNAcentral describes it as "partial 23S ribosomal RNA". It matches the Rfam family "Bacterial large subunit ribosomal RNA", at positions 1 to 553 of the family's 2925-position model. Lineage: Bacteria; Pseudomonadati; Pseudomonadota; Gammaproteobacteria; Enterobacterales; Enterobacteriaceae. The record is from RNAcentral.